This 382-nucleotide unclassified non-coding RNA is filed under the name uncultured Pirellulaceae bacterium. RNAcentral's name for it is "contains 16S-23S intergenic spacer region". The record is from RNAcentral. Lineage: Bacteria; Pseudomonadati; Planctomycetota; Planctomycetia; Pirellulales; Pirellulaceae.
UCCGGCUCAACGCCGGCGGUCUCUCUAGAGUCCCCGGCUUUACCCGCUGGCAACUAGAGACAAGGGUUUCGCUCGUUAAGGGACUUAACCCGACAUCUCACGACACGAGCUGACGACAGCCAUGCAGCACCUGUGCACGUUCCACCCGAAGGCGUGGCCCUGCUUUCACAGGGUUAAUCCGUGCAUGUCAAGACUAGGAUAAGGUUCUUCGCGUAGCCUCGAAUUAAGCCACAUCCUCCGCCGCUUGUGUGAGCCCCCGUCAAUUUCUUUGAGUUUCAGCCUUGCGACCGUACUCCCCAGGCGGCAUAUUUAACGCGUUAGCUCCGGCACGGAUCAAAUGAAUGACCCACACCAAAUAUGCAUCGUUUAGGGCGUGGACUAC